UUGACGGGGGCCCGGCACAAGCGGAGGAGCAUGUGGUUUAAUUCGAUGAUACGCGAGGAACCUUACCUGGGCUCGAACGUAAGAUGACUGUAGGUGAAAGCUUACAUCUCUUCGGAGCAUUUUACGAGGUGCUGCAUGGUUGUCGUCAGCUCGUGCCGUGAGGUGUCGGGUUAAGUCCCAUAACGAGCGCAACCCCUACCUUUAGUUGCCAUCAGGUUAAGCUGGGGACUCUAAAGGAACUGCCUACGCAAGUAGUGAGGAAGGCGGGGAUGACGUCAAAUCAGCACGGCCCUUACGUCCAGGGCUACACACGUGCUACAAUGGCCGAUACAGAGGGCAGCUACCUGGUGACAGGAUGCAAAUCUCCAAAAGUCGGUCUCAGUUCGGAUCGGAGUCUGCAACCCGACUCCGUGAAGUUGGAUUCGCUAGUAAUCGCGCAUCAGCCAUGGCGCGGUGAAUACGUUCCCGGGCCUU
RNAcentral lists this ribosomal RNA (474 nucleotides) under uncultured Sphingobacteriales bacterium. RNAcentral's name for it is "bacterial SSU rRNA". It matches the Rfam family "Bacterial small subunit ribosomal RNA", at positions 910 to 1382 of the family's 1533-position model. Lineage: Bacteria; Pseudomonadati; Bacteroidota; Sphingobacteriia; Sphingobacteriales. The record is from RNAcentral.